Molecule: long non-coding RNA, 4292 nt
Filed under: Setaria viridis
Lineage: Eukaryota; Viridiplantae; Streptophyta; Magnoliopsida; Poales; Poaceae
Description: long non-coding RNA (SVIR_LNC010191)
Source: RNAcentral
UUUUUGUUUUGUGCUAAGUCAAAAAAUUUUAAUAUUGAACAUGUUUUAUACAAAUAUAUUAACACCCACAAUAUCAAAUAAGUGCACUAUCACGACAUUUCAUGGUGGAACUAAUGAAACUAAUUUAAUAUGGCCAAAGUUAGAGAAAUUUAACAUAGGAAAAAACUAUAAUAACCUGCAUUUUGAAAUGGAGGAAGUACAUCAUAACUGGAAGGCGUAUUGCACCUUAAGUACAUGGUGACAUUUUCACGCUCAUAUAACUUUAUUGUAUUUAUCUGCUGAUCUAAUAAGAUAUUGCAGCACUAGAACAAAGGAUAAGCUUGAACAUAUAAGCAAAGAAGUCAUUUUAAAGCAUUUAAUAACUUGACUUCACAUAACAGUUUGUUAACUUCUUUAUUAAUUUCAUUUCUUUUCUUUUUUUGAAAAUAAAUUUCAUUUCAUUUCUAGGAGAUGGCCCAUAUUAACAUCAUAGCAUGGCAACAUGCCAUGUGAUUGGAGAAUAGCACUGCAGUAAUCACCAGUUCACCACCCUUCUGUAUACACAUUUUUUUUGCAGGGACGAAAAGGAAAAUAACAUCAACAGGUUUAGUUUACAUCACAUUAAACAUCUCUACAGCCUUAUGAGAAGAAGUCAAUCUUUAUAAAUGCUACCUCUGCUAUGUCAACUAGACAAACUAAUCAUCCUCGCUGCGCACUGAGGCAAAGAUGCGCUUUCACAGGCUUGUGAUCGGAGCUCCUAACACAGUCGAGGGAUUCAUAUGAGCUUAAUACUGCAUCCAAGCCUGAAGAAUGGUCGACCUUGAACAAUAUCCUGUCUGUCCAAGAAGGCACUCUUACCUGCAGAAGUGAAGAUCACAAGCAUAACACGUAAGAUUUUCAAAAGCUUCGGUUGGUUCAGUCUGCAACUUGGCAUCUGGAAGUGAUGUUAAUUCAAGAUACCUUAUGACUUGUAUCGUAGAUGCUACUUCCGACAUCGUACUUGUAUGUUGGCUUAAACGACAGGGUUCCUUCGUAGUAUCCAUUGAACACUUCGCCCUUUUCAGCUUCUUGAAGAAGCUGAUCUUUGCCUCUUAGCUUCUGAAACAAGACAUAAAUGUGAGGCACUGCUACAGUCUGAAUUCUGAAAACUGGCUAGUGCCAACGAACACUUACACUCUGACGAUUCUCCUCAAUCAUCUUCCUUGCAGGUAUCGAGCUUAUUCCUUCGAGUCUAUAAUUGAGAUCACCGAGCCACACUGUUAUGUCUGCGGAUUGGGCAUACGGUUUACCGUACUUGGAGAAGAGUGAGCGUGAAAUAUGCUGGAAUUCUGAGUUCCUCUUCUCCACCUUGUGUUCAUGAGCUACACUUUAAUAAUACCAUGUCACUUCAUAAUGGCGCUUGAUUAAAAUUGACAGCUAUGUCAUCCUACAUCAUAGACUCAUAGUAUAUUUGAAUCUGUGUUGAUUUUAGUAUCAGAAUAUGAGAAACUGCAAGACUUAGCAUCUGAAUCCCUGAAAACUCUUCUACAAUCAUAUUUUCAUUGUCUGAAGUUGUAUAGCACUUGGUCUGAUACUCUGAUACUUAGAGCAUUGUAGUAAUGUAUUGGUAUGAAUUUUAGUAAACACAAGUGAAAUUGACAAAAGCAUAAACCUGAAAUUGAAAACCAACCUGCAAGAUGGCAGACCACAAAAACCAUCCGGAUCCCACUGAAGUUGAUGUACAUGGCCACAGCUCCUUUCUUUCUCCCAAUCAUACCCCCAAAACCUCCAACUGCAUGUUUGUCCACCUUCAUCUCUGUCCAAAAUUAGAAAAGCACGUUUAUAAACCUUCACCUCUAUUCAGAAUUAGGAAACUAGUUUGAAGAAAGAGGAAACAUGCAAUUGGCAUCAAGCAAUUUGGGAUAAAUAUGAUAAGAAAAGAUUUAGAAUCACCUCCGAUGUACUUCUCCGAACUCUUUGAUCCGAAAAGAAGCAUCUGAAGAGACUGCAUGCUUUUCUGACCUAAUAGACUGAAAAUUAAUGUGCAUCAAACAAUUUCAGAAUACUGCAAAAGGCUAUAGUGUGUUCAAUAGCACAGAUAAGACUGGGGAGUUUCUUACAUGUGUGUGUCGGCCAUGGUUUCUUGCAGAACUUGCGAAACAUCACAUUUUGGUGCCUCUUGCAGUCCAACAACUAGCAAAUCAAACUUUCUGUUGGAUCUUACCAAUUUUGUUAUAUCUUCCACAGACAUCUUCACCACCAGAACACACACCAAAUCAAUGUGAUUGGCCAAAUCAUCAUGAAAAAGAAAGCAAUCGAGUUACAAGUAUAUACCUUGCCAUUCAUGUUCCAUGUGAUGAUACACACACAGAGCACAGAGUUGGUGGUGAAUUCACAACCUUUCUGAAUUGGAAUUGUCUUUAUGCCAUCGUGAGUCCCAUCCUCAUCAGUAGAAACCAGGCUGUUAUUCUGUAGCUGGCUUCUCCUGUAAUGUUACAAGUAUCAAGAAGUGCAAGAGAAUCAUACGAAAAGCAACUUUUAGAAGUUCAGAUAAAAUACCAUGUUGGAAGAGUAAGGCUGCUGCAGUUUCCCAUAUCGACGUACUGAAUCCUUGUUUCUGAUCAUCUAACGUGGAGAGGACAACAAAGGAACCCUUUUUAUACAACUAUACUCUGAAACUUCAAAGGUUCCAGCCACAGAGAGAAUCAAUUGGGUUUGGAUAUGGAUACUCUUAGCCUCCAAAUUUCUUUGAGCAAUUUAUUUGGAUCUUCCAUGUGCUCUUGAAAAUUUCAACACACAUUACGAAAUAGCGACAAGUGGAAUACCGAAGAACCAACCAUUUGGGCCAGCUGGAUUUGAUAGUUAGGUACUGCAUAUCUUUGAUGUGACAAUGAGACCUCAUUUGUCUUCCCAUCAUUAGCAGGCGGCUACAGCGGUCCGUGUAUUAGGGGAAAUGUUGAAAGGGACUCCACGCAGGAAUGGAACCACCCAAGUUGCUAUCAAUAGUUUGGACACUUGGUGCUAAGGCAAACAUUUUCUCAGCAAGUAACCAUGGUGGCCAUGGACUUUUAAUGGAGAAAGUGUGUUCCGGAACACGCUGGACCUUCCCGAAAUUUCACAACUCCACCAAAAUUCCAUCGCUAGCUGUACAAGCUGAAUUGUAGGCAUCUGCAGGAAAAAGAUCAGUAUUGCAAGCAACAUCGUCCAUGAAAGUUAUCCAUCGAUGUCUUGCUAAUGAACAUUAUGAAUUUGACUCGAUUUUAGCAGGAUUUCAGUUAAUUUUGGUAAUGCAAGAGUUGAUCAAGAUUUCUAGGACUUGAGAAGGCCUUGGCCCUUGGCAGUUGCAACUAGCUAUCUAUCAGCAGCCCAUCAACUGAAAAGAAGGUCUUGAUAGCAACAUGUAUCCAUGCUCAUCAAAAGUAAGCAUCAGAACCAUCCGGUCCCUUGUUGGAUCAUGUGCCGAUCAAAUGGUCAGUGGACGUGCUGGAAUCAACAGUUCCUUGCGGGAUGAGGUUUUCCAAUCAAACGAGCAGCCGCUGCUGCAAUUUUCUGAUGGGGCUGGCUGUUGCCAAACUUUCUUGCUGCAAGAGAAGCAAAGUGGUGUUCUUGGGUAGUUGGGUUGACGACGCAUCAACAGAAGACGUAUUGAGAGUGGCAGGAUGGCAUAUCAGGCACGUGAUUGCAACUGGAAAACCACCAGCCCCAGUGCCCAACUCCAUCCUCUCGAAUCUGCACGCGGCCGACAUCACCUUACUUGAAACUACACCCAAAAUUGCAGCCAUUCUCAGUUGAAAACUAAGCAAAUCUGCACGGUCAACUCUCGUACGCGACGAGAGCGUCUACGUGAUGACCGACGAAAACCGUUGGCGGAGACGUAUACGUACGGUACGACACCAUCGACGACCGGAACAGGCCGCCCCGUCGCGCUUCAUCGGUCACGUUCUCUGUUCGCGAGUCGCCGCCGAUCCGGCCGGACCAAGCGACGUCGAUUGGCCUAAGCACGCCACGCCUCGCUAGCUCCAGUCCCGUGACCUCGAGCUCCGAAACAAACGUGGUAGGAUGGCAACAGCUGAGUUGGGGGCAACAUGGCAACUCCCGGUGAAAUAUGACUAGAUCAUACAGCCACGCAAAACAGAAUACAGGUCUCGGAAAACACCAAAGCUAACAGCUACGUGUACCGUCCCUGACUUUCACGAACACACAAAAGAGUUCAAGCAAGCACUGUGGUCACUGGAUCCAUGUUUUCUGUGGUACAUAGAAACUCAAUGCUGGGCAUAACUUUGCAGAGACGACCGCCUCAUUCCAGUAGCACCUAACAGCAAUAGCAAAACACG